This 874-nucleotide ribosomal RNA is filed under the name Weissella confusa. RNAcentral describes it as "bacterial SSU rRNA". It matches the Rfam family "Bacterial small subunit ribosomal RNA", at positions 48 to 875 of the family's 1533-position model. The record is from RNAcentral. Lineage: Bacteria; Bacillati; Bacillota; Bacilli; Lactobacillales; Lactobacillaceae.
CUAAUACAUGCAAGUCGAACGCUUUGUGGUUCAACUGAUUUGAAGAGCUUGCUCAGAUAUGACGAUGGACAUUGCAAAGAGUGGCGAACGGGUGAGUAACACGUGGGAAACCUACCUCUUAGCAGGGGAUAACAUUUGGAAACAGAUGCUAAUACCGUAUAACAAUGACAACCGCAUGGUUGUUAUUUAAAAGAUGGUUCUGCUAUCACUAAGAGAUGGUCCCGCGGUGCAUUAGCUAGUUGGUAAGGUAAUGGCUUACCAAGGCGAUGAUGCAUAGCCGAGUUGAGAGACUGAUCGGCCACAAUGGGACUGAGACACGGCCCAUACUCCUACGGGAGGCAGCAGUAGGGAAUCUUCCACAAUGGGCGAAAGCCUGAUGGAGCAACGCCGCGUGUGUGAUGAAGGGUUUCGGCUCGUAAAACACUGUUGUAAGAGAAGAAUGACAUUGAGAGUAACUGUUCAAUGUGUGACGGUAUCUUACCAGAAAGGAACGGCUAAAUACGUGCCAGCAGCCGCGGUAAUACGUAUGUUCCAAGCGUUAUCCGGAUUUAUUGGGCGUAAAGCGAGCGCAGACGGUUAUUUAAGUCUGAAGUGAAAGCCCUCAGCUCAACUGAGGAAUUGCUUUGGAAACUGGAUGACUUGAGUGCAGUAGAGGAAAGUGGAACUCCAUGUGUAGCGGUGAAAUGCGUAGAUAUAUGGAAGAACACCAGUGGCGAAGGCGGCUUUCUGGACUGUAACUGACGUUGAGGCUCGAAAGUGUGGGUAGCAAACAGGAUUAGAUACCCUGGUAGUCCACACCGUAAACGAUGAGUGCUAGGUGUUUGAGGGUUUCCGCCCUUAAGUGCCGCAGCUAACGCAUUAAGCACUCCGCCUG